RNAcentral lists this non-coding RNA (147 nucleotides) under Rhodococcus erythropolis. RNAcentral describes it as "TPP sequence". It matches the Rfam family "TPP riboswitch aptamer (THI element)". Rfam says of the family: Vitamin B(1) in its active form thiamin pyrophosphate (TPP) is an essential coenzyme that is synthesised by coupling of pyrimidine and thiazole moieties in bacteria. The previously detected thiamin-regulatory element, thi box was extended, resulting in a new, highly conserved RNA secondary structure, the THI element, which is widely distributed in eubacteria and also occurs in some archaea. Lineage: Bacteria; Bacillati; Actinomycetota; Actinomycetes; Mycobacteriales; Nocardiaceae. The record is from RNAcentral.
AAGGUUCGACACGGGAGUCCUGAAACGUCGCUGUCACUUUUUGUCGUGACUGCGAGGUUCGUGGGGCUGAGAGGGGAUCGCGACCAGAUCCCGACCGUCAGACCUGACCCGGAUCAUGCCGGCGCAGGAAGUGGAGGUGGAGUUUCG